RNAcentral lists this ribosomal RNA (255 nucleotides) under uncultured bacterium. RNAcentral describes it as "partial 16S ribosomal RNA". It matches the Rfam family "Bacterial small subunit ribosomal RNA", at positions 524 to 776 of the family's 1533-position model. The record is from RNAcentral.
UACGAAGGGGGCUAGCGUUGCUCGGAAUCACUGGGCGUAAAGCGCACGUAGGCGGAUCUUUUAAGUCAGGGGUGAAAUCCCGAGGCUCAACCUCGGAACUGCCUUUGAUACUGGGGAUCUCGAGUCCGGGAGAGGUGAGUGGAACUGCGAGUGUAGAGGUGAAAUUCGUAGAUAUUCGCAAGAACACCAGUGGCGAAGGCGGCUCACUGGCCCGAUACUGACGCUGAGGCACGAAAAGCGUGGGGAGCAAACAGG